Molecule: ribosomal RNA, 522 nt
Filed under: uncultured bacterium
Lineage: Bacteria
Description: bacterial SSU rRNA
Rfam family: Bacterial small subunit ribosomal RNA
Source: RNAcentral
UCAGGACGAACGCUGGCGGCGUGCCUAAUACAUGCAAGUCGAACGGUCUUUCUAUGGAAGCUUGCUUCCACUGAGAAGAUAGUGGCGAACGGGUGAGUAACACGUGGGUAACCUGCCCAUAAGAGGGGGGAUAACAUCCGGAAACGGGUGCUAAUACCGCAUAGUUUUCUUGAUCGCAUGAUCGGGAAAGGAAAGACGGCCUUUGUGCUGUCGCUUAUGGAUGGACCCGCGGCGUAUUAGUUAGUUGGUGAGGUAACGGCUCACCAAGACGAUGAUACGUAGCCGACCUGAGAGGGUGAUCGGCCACAUUGGGACUGAGACACGGCCCAAACUCCUACGGGAGGCAGCAGUAGGGAAUCUUCCGCAAUGGACGAAAGUCUGACGGAGCAACGCCGCGUGAGUGAAGAAAGGUUUUCGGAUCGUAAAACUCUGUUGUCAGAGAAGAACAAGUUGGAGAGUAACUGCUCCAGCCUUGACGGUAUCUGACCAGAACGCCACGGCUAACUACGUGCCAGCAGCCGC